Non-coding RNA from Bacillus sp. OV166, 90 nucleotides. The record is from Rfam. NCBI's taxonomy places the organism in Bacteria, Bacillati, Bacillota, Bacilli, Caryophanales, Bacillaceae.
GUACGAUAAAGGCAAAAUCAUUGAAAAAUGAUGACGCAAAACUAUAGGGGCUAAAAUCAUGUUGGAUGAUUAUGCCCGCCAGUUACCGAA